GACCAUUUGUCGCUGUUCACAUCCACAUAACUUCUGCAGAAGAUGUAAACCUAUCUUAUUCUUCUGGUCACAGAUUUAAAACAAACAAACAAACCUGAAAUAAAUAAUAUAAAAGUCAAAUAGUACAUAGCUGAUUUAAGGAGCAAGUCUGAGCAAUUAUUUCCUGAAAAUAAGGCUUCAUUUUUGUAAAGUGGCUAGUCUAGCUUCCACUGCACAACAGUCACAGAGAUUACGUUUCCUGUGUGGCCCAUUACUGAGGCUGGAUUUGAUAAGGUAGCUAGUAAUAAGUCUCCUGUGUGUAGGAGAGGAUUUAUGUAGGAUUUUCUCCAUCAAAAUCUUACCGUACUGGCACACCCUGAACUAUAAGUUACAGUGCACUUGAGUCCUGACAUUGUAAUGCAUAGAGCAGGACACUUCGCUGUAAAUUGGAUUCUCUAGGAAUGGAAAAAAUGGAGAAAUCCAGCAAUGUUUCAUUAUGGAAAGCACUCAAAUGUGAGAAGUCUAGCCAAACGGGGAAGGGAUUCUUUUCCAACUCCUGCUGUUGAGGCCAACUCAAUAUCAUUACUUUGCCUUGCUCAGUAAAGGGUCAUUUAUUUUUGCCAUUUUAAUAAGACUAUCUAGCUAUCGACUUCAUUUUACUAUUUCAGGCGCUUUUCUGAAUACAGAGUGGAACUAACAGUCCCUUUAUCCUGCUACCUUUUUGACACAGUAUUUGAACUGCUGUCAAGAGUUUGGGAGUACAAUUUGCAGAGAAGGCAUGGAAGAAAAAGAGAGCAGUAUGUGCUGCCUACCUCCAUGAAGCAGUUCCAGGGCUGCACCGUCUGACACCACACUCAGAUGUAUCCAAGGAGAGUUAAAGAUGGCUAAUACUUGAAUCACACACCAUGCUGGAUCAACAAGAACACCUCAUCCCAUACAACAGCAAACAGCAUUUUCCCUGACCGAGGAAAGCAGACAAAUCCCAUCUCUGUAAGAGAUCAGGCCACACAAGCCCAGCUGACAGGUGACAAUACAGAAGCACAUUACCAGAAUGAAAAAGAGCUUUUGGAAUUAGAAGCCUGCCCCAAGAGAAGGCAAUACCCUUAUUGUGGGAAUAGCUCUGGGAGGGGCAUCGAUAUCCCAGAAUACCAGCAAAUAUUCUACUAGGCCAUCUGCAGAAGGACAACUUCUGUUUUUGCCUCUUUCUUCUUGGAUCAAAUGGCAGGCCACAGUGAAGGCACCAAGAUUCAUGCACAGCUGAGCCUUACGGACACCUCUGCAAUUGUUCUGAGGCAAUUGGUGACAUCUAAGUGGUGGCUGUAGUCAUUCAAGUGCCUCUGAUGACCUCUUCAGUGAUCAAACUGACCCUUUGUCAUUCAGUCAUUUGUAUACAACUUCAUAACUUCAUACACAGAGUAAACACAGUCUACAUGUAUGUUGCUUUCACCUGACAAACCACCGAGGCUUAUUGUAAGUGACUGAUGCUGGACUUCAAUAUAUUUUCAAGAAGGCACAACAUUACCAUUCCCAAAAGGGAAUGGCACGUUGAAUACGUAGGGGUCAAAGGAACUCAUGGUUGUUGACAUGAUUAGAAAUAGGAAAGAUGAUCCUUACUGCACAAAACACGUGGCCUUCACGAAUAUUUUCCCUCAUGAAAUAACACCAUAUUCUUAUCUGAGUUAAGCUUCUUCAUACUGAUCACUUUAAUCAGACUGAAUUAAUAUGAAAAUGCUUGAUCCAGUUCAAAGCUGGAUCUUCAAAACCUUAAAUCCACCUUUUCUAUGCAGAAAAUGACUAAUCUAGAAUUCUGAUAUAUUUUCUCUAAUAAGAUGUGCCAACUGUAUGUCAAGGUUGACUUAAUUAAAAAUAAAUAUACAGAA
This 1859-nucleotide long non-coding RNA is filed under the name Anas platyrhynchos platyrhynchos (common mallard). RNAcentral's name for it is "lncRNA (ENSAPLG00000021836.1)". The record is from RNAcentral. Lineage: Eukaryota; Metazoa; Chordata; Aves; Anseriformes; Anatidae.